RNAcentral lists this ribosomal RNA (499 nucleotides) under uncultured bacterium. RNAcentral describes it as "partial 16S ribosomal RNA". It matches the Rfam family "Bacterial small subunit ribosomal RNA", at positions 899 to 1397 of the family's 1533-position model. The record is from RNAcentral.
ACUCAAAGGAAUUGACGGGGGCCCGCACAAGCGGUGGAUCAUGUGGUUUAAUUCGAAGCAACGCGAAGAACCUUACCUGGGCUUGACAUCUUCGGACCGUCGUGGAGACACGAUUUUCGUAGCAAUACGACCGGAAGACAGGUGCUGCAUGGCUGUCGUCAGCUCGUGUGGUGACAUGUUGGGUUAAGUCCCGCAACGAGCGCAACCCCUGUCCUUAGUUGCCAGCAUUCAGUUGGGCACUCUAAGGAGACUGCCGUGGUUAACACGGAGGAAGGUGGGGAUGACGUCAAGUCCUCAUGGCCUUUAUGUCCAGGGCGACACACGUGAUACAAUGGUCGGUACAGAGGGAUGCGAACCCGCGAGGGGGAGCUAAUCUCAAAAAGCCGAUCUCAGUUCGGAUUGGAGUCUGCAACUCGACUCCAUGAAGUUGGAAUCGCUAGUAAUCGCGGAUCAGCACGCCGCGGUGAAUACGUUCCCGGGCCUUGUACACACCGCCCGU